UCUUAGAAGUCUCUUCUUCAACACAUUAUUUCUCCGGUCAAUAGCUAUAGAUUUCUAUGGACUUAAUGUUCAUGACUUCCUUUUAUCUAUUUCUUCUUCACCCUAACUAGGUGUUAUAUUCUUCUACAUCUUGUGUACUUGGGCUUCUCCUAGUCUUCUAUUGACAUUAAUAAAAUUUUCAUAAAGAAAUGAACUACCAGCUAUCUCAUAGUAAAAUUAAAGGUGAUCCAUCGUUUCCACUCUUUUUACACAUGCAACUCAAAUAAAUUACUACAACUUGCCGCCUCCUUACAUUAUCCAAGGUAAGAAUCUUCCCUAAAACCAUUGUCCAUAUAUAAAAGAUUUUUUUUUAAUCAUUAAAAGUAGGCAAAGCCAAAGUACACAUGGAGUAUACAUGAGAAGUACCCUAGAGUUUACAACUGAAAGUAGAAAAUCAUGGACAUUUAGCCCAUUACAAACAAUGGCCCUGCCCAUAAGAACAAUGAUUUAAAAAAGAAAACCUUAAGUUCCUCAAUUGUUCUCUUGCAAUCUUUGAAGCACUUCUAUCAUUUCUCUCCUGCCAAAUACACCAACACAUACAUGUAAGUAACCACUGUCCAUAUUGCUACCACCUAUGAAUUACCUUGGAGGUCUCUUCAACUUGCUAGGAAAUCCACCAGUCUAAGAGGCAUAACCCAUGAUAAUCCAAUGCUUGCAAAAAAAUCAUUCCACAUGGUCCUGACCACCUCGCAAUGUAAAAGCAGAUGAUCUACUGAUUCACCAUUCUUAGACAUGAAACACCAGUCCAACACCAUUACCCAGCGUUGCCUGAAAUUAUCUAUGGUGAGAAUCUCAUUUCCUUAUAUAAAAGUUCGCUCUUGGGGUACCUUGUUUCACCAAAUAAUCUUCCAAGGACAAGGGGAACAAUCAAAAGCACAUAACACUUUGUAGAGAGACUUUACUUCAAACACUUCUUUCUUUGUUGGGCCCCAGACCAGUUUGUCUUCACCGCCCCAUCCCAAACUGCAAUCGUUUGAAGAACGAUGUGAAGAGAUCCCCCUUCUAGUAAUUAAUCUCUCUAGCAAAAUUAACUGUCCACUAAUGAGUAUCUUGCAAGAACCGACAAUGAUCCAUCACAAAAGCAUCCUUGAAAUGUACAGUGCUCAAUAACUAUGGUAAAGCACCUUUUGAAAGCUGAUCUCCAAGCCACACAUCAUGCCAAAAAUUAAUCUAGUACCCGUCACCCACCUCAUAUCUAAUAAAGUGGGACAAAUCCUCCUAACCCCUUCUAAUGUUCUCCCAAAGACCAAUCAUAAAAAGACACAUGAACCCUUAGACAAGUAUAUCACUUCUACCUAGCCAAGAAACGCAAUGGAAGACCAAGAUAACUUGUGGGCAAAUCAGAAAUCUUUCAGCCAAGAAAACCCGCCAAAAUAACCAUGUUCUAUAGAUUGCCAACUGGGAGCAACCCCGAGAUAGUAAAAUUAACCUUCAAACCAGAAACUUCAAAAUAUUUUUUUAAAAGUAAUAGAACUUCAUUAAAUUUCACAAAAGGUGCAUCCAAGUACACAGGGUGUAUACAAGAAAGUCAUCAAUUGAAAA
Molecule: long non-coding RNA, 1581 nt
Organism: Juglans microcarpa x Juglans regia
Lineage: Eukaryota; Viridiplantae; Streptophyta; Magnoliopsida; Fagales; Juglandaceae
Exons: 2
Source: RefSeq, a predicted model, not a curated record